UAGGGAAUCUUCGGCAAUGGGGGGAACCCUGACCGAGCAACGCCGCGUGAGUGAAGAAGGUUUUCGGAUCGUAAAGCUCUGUUGUUAAGGAAGAACGAGUGUGAGAAUGGAAAGUUCAUGCUGUGACGGUACUUAACCAGAAAGGGACGGCUAACUACGUGCCAGCAGCCGCGGUAAUACGUAGGUCCCGAGCGUUGUCCGGAUUUAUUGGGCGUAAAGCGAGCGCAGGUGGUUUAGAAAGUCUGAUGUGAAAGCCCACGGCUCAACCGUGGAGGGUCAUUGGAAACUAAUAAACUUGAGUGCAGGAGAGAAAAGUGGAAUUCCUAGUGUAGCGGUGAAAUGCGUAGAGAUUAGGAGGAACACCGGUGGCGAAAGCGGCUUUUUGGCCUGCAACUGACACUGAGGCGCGAAAGCGUGGGGAGCAAACAGG
Molecule: ribosomal RNA, 430 nt
Filed under: Verrucomicrobiota bacterium
Lineage: Bacteria; Pseudomonadati; Verrucomicrobiota
Description: Verrucomicrobia bacterium partial 16S ribosomal RNA
Rfam family: Bacterial small subunit ribosomal RNA
Source: RNAcentral